UCUCAGUGAUGAAGAUUUUUCAGAUGACGAGUCUGAUCGAAAAUCCAUUCGUUUACAAUCGUGACGACAAAUCGAGGCAUUUGUCUGAGAGAA
Molecule: small nucleolar RNA, 93 nt
Organism: Coffea eugenioides
Lineage: Eukaryota; Viridiplantae; Streptophyta; Magnoliopsida; Gentianales; Rubiaceae
Source: RefSeq, a predicted model, not a curated record